RNAcentral lists this long non-coding RNA (545 nucleotides) under Coffea arabica (coffee). RNAcentral's name for it is "long non-coding RNA (CARA_LNC008022)". The record is from RNAcentral. Lineage: Eukaryota; Viridiplantae; Streptophyta; Magnoliopsida; Gentianales; Rubiaceae.
CAAAAUCAUCAGAAGUACAAGGGAUUUCAAAUUCAAUCAUGAUAUAACAUGCGCAUGCUAAAAUUUGAACAAUCAACGGGGCAAUUGCAAUAAACGAAGCCAUGGCAGACAUGCUUAGAGGACUUGGGAAGGAACUGAAAUUCAAAGAAAAAGGGGCGACUUAUAGUGCUCUUACUUGAGCGGUGGCGACGGCGAUUAUGACGAAGCCGAAGACGGUGAGUUGGAAUUGGAAGAUGACUAGGUCUGACUUCGUCCGAGAGCCUUCAUCUAGUGUUACAGAGAACGGCAGCAGCCCAGGAGGUUGUGUGCGGUGUUGGCGAUGGCAGACAGCAGCAGAGCGGACGCGGACUGGUGGUGACCUGGUUCUUCCUCCUCUGUCCGUUGCCGCGUCUUUCUCUCCUGAUCUUCCCGUCAGCCGCCACUCUUCCUUCACUCUAUUUUUUUUCUUUUCACGCUCAAGGCCUCCCUUCCAAGAACCCUAGCCGCUUCUCUGCUCUUCUGUUUCUCUUUUUCUCCUCAAAAACCUAGCCUAAAUUUGUCUAAGU